Equus caballus (horse) is the source of this 1634-nucleotide long non-coding RNA. NCBI's taxonomy places the organism in Eukaryota, Metazoa, Chordata, Mammalia, Perissodactyla, Equidae. The record is from Ensembl.
GAAGAACUAGAGUGAAGGACUGACCAGUUGGCAAAAUCUCCAGCAGAUUAAUGGAGACCAUCUGGAUGGAGGCGCUGCACUUAGGGGCCCGGUGGCGAGGGCCGGGCUCCCCAAAGGCCUGUGCCGUGCUGCCUUGCCCCCAGAGAAGACAGCAGUUCUGGCUGGAGUUCUAGUGUCCGAGAGCUGAGAGAGGGUGUGGUCUCGACCCGAGCGAGCACCCCUGCAGUUCCAGAUAUGGAAAGUCUGCUCACCACUGGCGGUUCUGGCCCAGAGGCACACAGCCCAUUACUCUCGAGCCAUGGCAGAAGCCAGGUGGAGCUCUGCCCAAGGUGACAACAACACCCUGGCUGGGGCGGUGAGUCCCUCUACUGCAGAGGUUCUCAGAGUGGCAUCCGACCAGCAGCAUCAACACCACUUCGGAACUUGCCAGAAAUGUGGAUUCUCGGCCCCACCUACACCCACUGAAUCAGAAACAGGCUGGGGUCCAUGAAACUGGUUUGAAGCACUCCCCAGAGGGCUGUGAUGCCGCCAGCGCGUGGGGACCACCGUGCUGGGGACGGGGCGCUGGGCAGCACAGGAGGGGCCUCUGUGGAUUGACCGGAACAAUUCACAAUACGGAAAAUGACUUUCUCCUUCUCAACUUCUUCCUCCGCCAGUUUUUCCCCUCCUUCUUUUCUGAAGCGUCUUCCUCUUACUUUCUCCCAGACAUGAGAUCAACCUUCACCAGAGGUGGUCCCAAGAUUCCCUGCUCUCUGGCUCACCUUGAAGAGUGGGAGCCUAUUUCCAACACCACUUCCCCCUCAUAAAGAAAGACCACGAGACUGACAAGUAUCUGAAGAGAGGUUCAAACCCUAUGAAUCCAAGAAACGUAAAUUUAAGCAAUUGAGAUAUGACUGCGCUCUUCAGAAUGGCCAUGCUCAGAAUGAGGGGACCACAAGGAGUGGCAAGGGCUUGUGAGGACAAGACCUCUUCCUAAUCGAGCGGAGUGUAAGCUGGUACGCUUAUUUUGGAAAGCAAUCUGGCAAAUUUAGUGUUACUUAUUUUCUUUAAUUAGUUUCAUUGGACACACCUCACACACUGCUUACUGUGUUUUAGACACUGUUCUAGGCAACUUACAAAUCCCAACUCAGGUAAUUAGUAACUUAGAUAGUUGAGGAUGUGUACGCUUUAUGAGCCAGUGAUCCUCUCCCAAGGGAUGGAUUCCGGAGCAGGUCUCCCACAGUCGAUAAAGGGACAUGUAUAGAGUGUGGCGUUGGUGGCAGAGGUGGUGGAGGACCCUUGGUGUCCAGCCGCGGGGGUUGGAAACUGUGGUGUGCAUCCCGUGGGAUGCUAUGCAGUGCUGGGAUCAUCUAACCAGACACCUACAGCAUCAAGGACAGAGCUCAGAAAAACAGUGAAGACUGAAAAAAGUAGACUGCAGAAUAACAUUCAUAACUCAAUACCAUUUAUGAAAAGUCAAAACACAUACUCACAACAAUGCUCCAUACUUUGCAGGAAUAUAUGCGUCUUUAAGGACACGUAGCAAACAUAUGGGAGCAGGUGCUUCUGUGGAGGAGAUGGCUGGAGAGGGACGGUGGUGAAAGGGAGAGGAACUCUGGACACAGUCUGAGCAACGUGCUGCGCACCAACGAGCG